GAUGAACGCUGGCGGCGUGCCUAAUACAUGCAAGUCGAGCGAACGGACGAGAAGCUUGCUUCUCUGAUGUUAGCGGCGGACGGGUGAGUAACACGUGGAUAACCUACCUAUAAGACUGGGAUAACUUCGGGAAACCGGAGCUAAUACCGGAUAAUAUUUUGAACCGCAUGGUUCAAAAGUGAAAGACGGUCUUGCUGUCACUUAUAGAUGGAUCCGCGCUGCAUUAGCUAGUUGGUAAGGUAACGGCUUACCAAGGCAACGAUGCAUAGCCGACCUGAGAGGGUGAGCGGCCACACUGGAACUGAGACACGGUCCAGACUCCGACGGGAGGCAGCAGUAGGGAAGCUUCCGCAAUGGGCGAAAGCCUGACGGAGCAACGCCGCGUGAGUGAUGAAGGUCUUCGGAUCGUAAAACUCUGUGAUUAGGGAAGAACAUAUGUGUAAGUAACUGUGCACAUCUUGACGGUACCUAAUCAGAAAGCCACGGCUAACUACGUG
RNAcentral lists this ribosomal RNA (497 nucleotides) under uncultured bacterium. RNAcentral describes it as "partial 16S ribosomal RNA". It matches the Rfam family "Bacterial small subunit ribosomal RNA", at positions 28 to 507 of the family's 1533-position model. The record is from RNAcentral.